GAUGAGAACGUAGCGAAAUGCGAUAAGUAAUGUGAAUUGCAGAAUUCAGUGAAUCAUCGAAUCUUUGAACGCACAUUGCGCCCUUUGGUAUUCCUUAGGGCAUGCCUGUUCGAGCGUCAUUUGAAACCUCAAGCUCAGCUUGGUGUUGGGUGUCUGUCCCCGCCUCACCGCGGGGACUCGCCUCAAAAUCAUUGGCGGCCGGUACGUUGGCUUCGAGCGCAGCAGAAACGCGAACUCGAGGCCCGGCGGAUCGGCGACCAGAAGUCACUUCUUCACAGUUUGACCUCGGAUCAGGUAGGGAUACCCGCUGAACUUAAGCAUAUCAAUAAGCGGAGGA
Molecule: unclassified non-coding RNA, 337 nt
Filed under: soil metagenome
Description: partial contains 5.8S ribosomal RNA, internal transcribed spacer 2, and large subunit ribosomal RNA
Rfam family: 5.8S ribosomal RNA (bases 5-119)
Source: RNAcentral